Long non-coding RNA from Hibiscus syriacus, 158 nucleotides. RefSeq lists it as uncharacterized. NCBI's taxonomy places the organism in Eukaryota, Viridiplantae, Streptophyta, Magnoliopsida, Malvales, Malvaceae. The transcript has 3 exons. The record is from RefSeq and is a predicted model, not a curated record.
CUAAAAAUUAUCAAAGUUUAGCAUGAUCGGAACAGAAAUAGAACUAACCUUCCUCAAUGAAGACAGAGAGUCCGAAAUCCGUGGCCUUUAUGGGAGAAUUCUCAUCCUUGCUAACCAGCAAGAAAUUUUCAGGCUUCAAGUCCCUAUGCAUAACCCCC